GCCUCGGUGGCUCAGUCGGUAGAGCGUGCGCUUGGUAAGCGCAAGGUCGGGGGUUCGAUUCCCCCCCGAGGCU
Molecule: transfer RNA, 73 nt
Filed under: Candidatus Woesearchaeota archaeon
Lineage: Archaea; Nanobdellati; Candidatus Woesearchaeota
Description: tRNA-Thr
Rfam family: tRNA
About the family: Transfer RNA (tRNA) molecules are approximately 80 nucleotides in length.
Source: RNAcentral